GUCAUACUUGGCUUGAGGGACUCAGACACCGGGAUAGUGCAGCCCCUGGAGGCCUCUGGGCAGGUGGCCUUCACCCAGCCUCCCACUGGGACGACAGGGAAGGAGAAAAGGCCCUCACCGAGGUGUGGCACCCUUGUCCAGGGAAUCAGCCGCCUGGACCUUUCCAGGAGUGACCCAGCGGACUAGGUGGCCACUGUGGCUCUGGGUGACACCCCCAGACUUCUGCAGUUUCCCCUUGCUUCUCCACGGUCGCUCUGGGCCAGGGCCCACCCUGAGCACACAUGUGGGCCACAGAAGCUGCUUCCUGGGAAGCCACCGGCUGAGGGGCAGCUCCCUGUCUGUCUGGGGUGGAAACGCCACGGUGACUGAGGCCCUGCGGAGCAUCACGGAGGACUCACGGGUCCUCUCCGUCCUCCCAGGGUGCUCCCGGCAGCUCCCAGAGGACAGGGCAGUGGCUGGAAGGUGUCUAUGCGAGGGAGCCCCAGCCCUGGCCAGAGCUGCUGAGCCCCCGCAGGUGAGCGCUCCACCCAGGGCCCCAGGCCGGUCCUCCACGCAGUGAACUCCAGGGGGUGGGCUGGGCACCCUGGGGGAGGAGCAGGUCUGUGGCCCUCAGCGGCAGGGGGGCGGCUCUGCCUUGCUGCUGGGCUGACCCUCACCCCAGUCCUGGCUCCUGGUCCUGUCCCCUGGGGCCCAGGGCAUCAAGCUUUGCUGCCAUCAGACUCCUGCGGCCCAAGUCCUGGGCGUCACCUGGUUCUGUAGACGUGAUUGUGGAGCUGUGUGAGCAUUUGACAGUAAUCACAAACAGGGAUCCCUGCAAAUCCAGUGAGCUGCACAGAGAGGUGCGCCAAGGGACCCGAAGACAACAGUGAACCCCG
RNAcentral lists this long non-coding RNA (875 nucleotides) under Marmota monax (woodchuck). The record is from RNAcentral. Lineage: Eukaryota; Metazoa; Chordata; Mammalia; Rodentia; Sciuridae.